GAGGGAGACAAGGCUGCUGAAUUUGUGCCAUGGAAAGAUGAUAAAUCAGCAGGUUCUACUGCCCUUCAGAGCAGUGAGACCAAGUCUCCAUUCUGCUCUGAGAUCAUCUAUAGAAUGAGGAUAAUAGCACCCUUUUCAGGAGGUUGGUGUUAAUAAUACUUAACAAAAAUACAAAUAUCAGAUUCCAAGUCUACUAAAAACACAAAAAUUAGCCAGGUGUGGUGGCAGGCGCCUAUAAUCCCAGCUGCCCUGGAGUCUGAGGCAGGAGA
Molecule: long non-coding RNA, 269 nt
Filed under: Homo sapiens (human)
Lineage: Eukaryota; Metazoa; Chordata; Mammalia; Primates; Hominidae
Description: non-protein coding lnc-WRNIP1-9:1
Source: RNAcentral